UGGGGGUUAUUGCACAAUGGGCGAAAGCCUGAUGCAGCGACGCCGCGUGGGGGAUGAAGGCCUUCGGGUUGUAAACUUCUUUUGCUCUGAACAAGGCAUGCUAAUGGGUGUGUUGAGUGUAGGGGUUGAUUAGCGCCGGCUAACUACGUGCCAGCAGCCGCGGUAAUACGUCGGGCGCGAGCGUUGUCCGGAAUUAUUGGGCGUAAAGGGCUUGUAGGUGGCUGGUUGCGUCUGUCGUGAAAGCUAAUGGCUUAACUGUGGGUUUGCGGUGGGUGCGGGCUGGCUUGAGUGCAGUAGGGGAGGCUGGAAUUCCUGGUGUAGCGGUGGAAUGCGCAGAUAUCAGGAGGAAUACCGGUGGCGAAGGCGGGUCUCUGGGCUGUUACUGACACUGAGGAGCGAAAGCAUGGGGAGCGAACAGG
Molecule: ribosomal RNA, 419 nt
Filed under: bacterium
Lineage: Bacteria
Description: partial 16S ribosomal RNA
Rfam family: Bacterial small subunit ribosomal RNA
Source: RNAcentral